Long non-coding RNA from Pecten maximus, 352 nucleotides. RefSeq lists it as uncharacterized. The transcript is spliced from 3 exons. The record is from RefSeq and is a predicted model, not a curated record. NCBI's taxonomy places the organism in Eukaryota, Metazoa, Mollusca, Bivalvia, Pectinida, Pectinidae.
GUGGUUUGUACAGAGUGUAUGGACAGACAUUGUGUGGUACAGAGGUAAAGUGUGGUUUGUACAGAGUGUAUGGACAGACAUUGUGUGGUACAGAGGUAAAGUGUGGUUUGUAUGGACAGACAUUGUGUGGUACAGAGAUAAAGUGUGGUUUGUAUGGACAGACAUUGUGUGGUACAGAGAUAAAGUGUGGUUUGUAUGGACAGACAUUGUGUGGUACAGACAUAAAGUGUGGUUUGUAUGGACAGACAUUGUGUGGUACAGAGGUAAAGUGUGGUUUGUACAGAGUGUAUGGACAGACAUUGUGGGGUACAGAGGUAAAGUGUGGUUUGUACAGAGUGUAUGGACAGACAUU